RNAcentral lists this ribosomal RNA (468 nucleotides) under uncultured bacterium. RNAcentral describes it as "partial 16S ribosomal RNA". It matches the Rfam family "Bacterial small subunit ribosomal RNA", at positions 28 to 507 of the family's 1533-position model. The record is from RNAcentral.
GACGAACGCUGGCGGCGUGCUUAACACAUGCAAGUCGAACGGAAAGGCCCUGCUUUUGUGGGGUUCUCGAGUGGCGAACGGGUGAGUAACACGUGAGUAACCUGCCCUUGACUUUGGGAUAACUUCAGGAAACUGGGGCUAAUACCGGAUAGGAGCUCCUGCUGCAUGGUGGGGGUUGGAAAGUUUCGGCGGUUGGGGAUGGACUCGCGGCUUAUGAGCUUGUUGGUGGGGUAGUGGCUUACCAAGGCUUUGACGGGUCGCCGGCCUGAGAGGGUGACCGGCCACAUUGGGACUGAGAUACGGCGCAGACUCCUACGGUAGGCAGAAGUGGGGAAUAUUGCACAAUGGGCGGAAGCCUGAUGCAGCAGCGCCGCGUGCGGGAUGACGGCCUGCGGGUUGUAAACCGCUUUCGCCUGUGACGAAGCGUGAGUGACGGUAAUGGGUAAAGAAGCACCGGCUAACUACGUG